This is a non-coding RNA of Cinara cedri, 12620 nucleotides long. Lineage: Eukaryota; Metazoa; Arthropoda; Insecta; Hemiptera; Aphididae. The record is from the annotation of a GenBank genome assembly.
CGCCCCAGUACACGAGUAUACAGUGGGUGCGCUCGCGUGUGUACGUGCGUGCGUGUGCGUACGGCGCGGGAGUGUGUGUGUGUGUGUGUGUGUGUGCGUGCGCGCGUGUCAUUAUAACACGAAAAGCGAUUCUCGUCCAUUCAUGCAAAAACAUUUUACCGUCACGAAUAUCGCCGUCGCCGCCCGGAUGGAGUAGCGUAGCCUACUGCUAUACGGCGUGUCCAGGCGAACAUGAGCGAUCCCGGGGGAUAGACGUGAUGACGCCGCCGGGUACGCCACCCAAAACGAAAAGUACAGGUAAUACCCGAAUUUUUAUUUAUUGUAUGUAUAUACUUAAAUAUUUGUUAUUGAUAAUAAUAUUAAUAUUAUCUAUACGUAUUGUCUUUUUUCGUCAAAAAAAAAUUGUCGAGUACUUGUCUAGGAACAGACACAGCUGGGGGGCUUGGGGGCUAAGUCCCUUCAGUUUUAUAAAUACCUACCCCCCAUAAUUAUAUUUUUGCUGACCCUAAAUAAUUAAUUGUCAACCCUCAGGUUGAGAAACUCGGCUCUAGUCGAUAGAAAAUUGAAGAUUUUGGUGAGAGGGAGCUGUAGGUGUGGGUUCCGAGGAUUUUAAUUAAUUAAAGAUAAUAGGAUAUACGAUUUUAUUGUUUAUUGAAGAAAAAUGUAUAUAAUGUACCAUUCACUGUACUUAUACAUGGGAGGACCAACCAAAGUCUAAAAGUGUCGAACGCAUGACAAAUAUUAUUAUUUUAUAAUGUGAAACGAAAAUAAAAUUAGACACCGAACUCCUCUUUCCCAAAUUGUACAUUUUAAUAAAUAGAAUAAAUGAGUAUUCUUUUUUGGAAAACUAUUGAAAACUGUAAUUAAAGAAAAAAAAAGCGUCCUUGGAUAAUAGAGACGAGUCAGCCACUGUCAUAAGUAAUUUAAUGUAUAUCUGUAAACAACGAUAAACUAUUACUAAUAAAAAAAACGAUUCUGAGCGGAGUUCAGUUGAUAGUGAUGCUUUGUCAAUAAUAUGGAUGUCACAUUAUGGUAAAAUAAUUUAAUAGGCAUUAUAUAUUUUCUUUAAUAAUAUUUGUUUAAUAUUGUACUGAUUAUCCCGUUUUCCCUGCGUUUUUCCCAGUUUUUUUCCCGGUUUUUCAUAUUUCUGAGAAAAUCGAAAAUGACCUCCUUAAAGUACCUUCCCAGUCAGAUUUACUUUCAGAAAAAGUACUAUCAUUGUAAAUCGGAGCAAAAUUGCUGGUAGAAAAGUUGUUCACAGGAAAAUUUAAUAGGGUCGAAAUAUUUUUCAAUUAAUAUAUACCUACAUUUCGUACAUUUUCCCGUUUUUCCAAGAUUUUAUUCCGAUUUCCCCCAGUACUUACUGAAUAAAAUUACGUAUAAAACUCGAAAAAUUAAAAUUUCAAUAUAUAGCUCAAAAAUGACUUGAAUAAUAUGCAAUUCAGAUUAUAUUAUUUUUCUGUUUAUUUGAAAUUGGAAACAAAAAAAAAAAUGUAUCCAUCUAUUAUAGGUAUACUCAGUGAUGUAUUUGGGGAGUUUCCUAACUCCUGGCAAUAUUUUUUCUCCACAAAUAUUAACAUAGCUUCAUUACGAAUUCAUUCCUGAUUAUAAUAUAACUUAAAACCUUAUAAGUGGUAAAUGGAGAGGAGUGGUAGAUUAUUAACAUGCCGUCCGCCAUACCACCACACCUGCUCUCCUCCGACCGAAACUUAAAAGUGGAAUAUCUCGUCAAUGACGCGACAGAAAUCAAAAAUGUCAACACUAAAAUUUAUUUCAACACUAAUACUCCUUCUAUUUAUGGACUUUUUAAUAUAGGUUACCGUUUGAAAAUAAAAAGUACGUAGUGGUUUUACCUCCAAAAAUAAGAGUGACAGAAAAUAACAUAAAUAUAAAAUUGUAGAGCAGCUUUUGUCUUAAAUUUUCUAGAAAACAAAUUCCAACAAAAAGUUAAUACUUACCGAUAUAAUAAAUAUGUACCAACUUAAAUAGAUCACUCGAUAUGUAGUUUGUUUUAAAAUCGUCUAUUCAACAUAAUCGUCCCUCAAAGUCGGACUUCGAAAUCCUCUAGAUAUUUUAUUGCUGCUGGACCAUAUUCAUGCAGCGCAAUUACACUUUCUUCGAAUUUCUUCUUUGGCACUCCUUCAUAAUAUGUCGCCUAGUUUUUAUGACCCCAUAUUCACAUAGUGGGAAGUUGAUCAUAUCUAAUUUAUGUAGGAAAUAGUUACACUUCCCUUGCUUCGUCCUUAUAUGGUUUAAGGCUUUCCGUUAUGCUCUAUUUUGGUAAAAUCUUGGGUUUUGCUAGCAGGGUUUUUAAUAGUGGAAUAAUUUCGGACGUAUACGUUUGUUAAUCUAUUUACCCACAUCUCCCCUAUUGUUUUAUUAAUUGAUUAUAUAGACUCAUAUAAGGUUACUAUGUCCUUUAAUAUCGGUAAGUCAGUGGACAAUGUCUUUGUUUUUAAUCUUUAACCGAUCAUAUAUAUGCAUGUUAACAUUGAAAUUUUAAUUUUGUUAGUAAUCUAUAUAUAGUUUCAUAGUUUGUAGAUAAAAAUGUCGGAGGAAAAAAUGUCCGGAGGUAAAAAUUCCCGAUGUCCGGCUUGUACACUUUAGGUAUAGCUAGAUAAUUAUAACAACCAAACCGAAGAAUGGAAUCUUUUGGUCAAUUUGAUCUUUAAAAGUAAUAAAAAUAUUACUUUUAAGACCAAAAUUAAGACAAUUAUUAUACCUAUUAAUAUUACUAUUGCGUAUGAAAAUUAUAUUCAAUUUAUUAUUUAUAUUUAUAAAUUAUAAUUAUAUAAGUAUUAUAUUUUACUUCCAGACAUUUUUCCUCACACAUUGUUUCCUCGGAUAUUCUGAUAGAACCCCAGUUUAAUAUUCACAAUUGUGUAUGGAAAAUUGACAUAUACUCGAAGGGAGGCGUACACUAUUUGGCCAUAUACUUCAAAUUUAUUGCAUUUGGUUACAUUUUGCAUGACAGUGAUGAUAUUCUAAAAUAAUGUUUAUGAUGUAUAGAUACAUUAUGAUAAUAUUAUUACAUGUAUGUAUGUUAUAAGAGUCGUUCGAUUAAAAAUGAAAAAAAAUCAACACUUAAAACGGGUUUUAAUAAUAAUAUAUGACGAAGACGGCUGAGUUUUUAAUAAUUUUCAGUAUUACACAUUAUAAAUUACAUUUCAGUUUUAGAUUCUGAGGUAGGUAUCGAAGUGAAAACUUAAAAAAAAACUUUUUUUGGUUAAAUAAAUGUUUGAAUUUUACUUUGUCACACCUUAAAUGAUGCUGAUCUUUUCGCUUUAUGGAACAUUAUUUGUACAAUAUUUUGAAAUUUCUAAUGCUUUUUCAAAAAAUGUUAUUUUAUUUUAUUUUUUUUUUUUGGUCAGAUAAAUGCUAUAAUUUUUAAUUCAAUUCCUCAAAAGAUAUGGAAUUCCACUUUUAAAUUCUUUUUGGUUUUUAUUGAUUUCUGAGAUUCAUUAGCAAAUAGGAGGAAAAAAACGCGAUUCUAAAUUACUUCGCUUAGAAUUGGUUUUCGUUUACAUUGAUUUAUUGCAUACAAUAUAUUAACUAAAUUACUUUGUGUAACCUAUCAUAAUUCUCAACUGCGGUAGCCUAAACGUAAGUAGUAUUAACUUUUUUAAAAUAUAUGUGUUUUUUUUUGAAAUAUUAAAAGAUUCCAACUCAUUUUUUUCAAUUUAGUUAUUUAUUUAUUUUUAUCAAUGUUUAUUUCCUGUGUAAACACACGAAUUAUUUUUUUUUUGUGAUAAAAAUGAUAACAUUUAAUUUUAAGGGAAAACAUAACCUUUCCCUUCAACAUCAAAUUUAGUCUUAUAAGGCUUAAAGCUAUUUUGAUAAUACCAGUUAUUUUUGUUUUGUGUAUAAUAUCCAUGUCCAAGAAACUAAAACUUGCCUUGUUCUCCUAAAUUAAUCAUUAAAGGUGUUUAAUUUAAUUUAAUUUAAAGGGUUAAUAAUAGGCUUUUAACUUAGAAUACUUAGAUUAUUAUUAUUAAUAUUAUGAUAUGAUUGUAUAAUUUGAUAUAGUUCAUACGUAUUAAAUAAAACACGGAAAUAUGCAAUAAACUAAAACACUCUAUAAAUAUUUAAAAAAAAAAAAUUUAUUUCUAAAAAAAUUUGAAAAAAAAUUACAGAUAAUUUUGUGACACAACUCUAAUAGAAGAGGUACUAUAGAUAUAAAGUACUUUUAGACUCUAGAAUCUAGAUAAAAUUCUAAUAAGAGGGAGUCCAUAAAAGUCCUCUAGUGCACUAGGGAUGUCCGUGCAUGGAAGUUACUGUGCUGUUAGGAUACUCAUCAUUACGUCUUAUUAAAUUUAUAAUAUAUUUAUCGAUAAUCAAAUUAUCGGCUCGGAAAAAUUGAUAAAUACAACACUUAUUGACUUAUAAGAUAUUUGAUAAGUAUCUGAAAUAAAUUUGACCAGUUUUUGUAAAUCCCUAAACAUUUUCGUAGACAUGAGACUUAUUUUAGGAAACCGGUAUUCUUUAUUUACCUACACUUGAUAAAUAUCGGAGCAGCCUGCUGAAAACCAGAAGUGUCCCGCCUAAACUGGGAUGAAUAGCAGCAAAAACAUGAAAUUUCUUCAAAUACGUAAUUUUCGUAUAUUAUAUUAUGCGGUGUUUAAUUUUUUAAAUUUUAUAGUUACCUGCCGGCUACCAUAUAUAUUUACUAUAUUCAUCAUCAUCUAUAUUAUAUACUAUAUUAUAUUAUAAUAUAUAUUACGCGUAUUAUAAUAUAGGACAUAGGUAGUUGGUUUGAAAGUUACGACUUUUUUAUAGGUCUUUAUUUCUAUUUUUAAAAUCACGUGAUAAUAGGUACAUCAUUAUAUAAUAUUAUCGAUAUUUAUACCUAACACGAUAAAUUUGUUGUAUUUUUUCGCCGUCGUCGUCGCGUCGCGUUGCAUUUCAUCGCAAAUCGUGCAAUUAUAUAAUACAACGAUAAUAAUCUAUAUACUACCGUAUUUAUAACAUAUAUUUACUGUCGUAGUUAAUAUCAACAAAUAUUAUGGAAACGCGCCGCGCAAUUACCGCAUCUCUAUGAAGAACUUACAACGAUAGUAUUAUUACAAUGCUACUUAUAUAGCUGAUAAUUUAUCAGACGAUAUAUUUGUAUAUGUCAUUAUAAUAUUACUAAUACCUACAGUUACGAUAGUAAAUAUACCAUAUAGUUAACACGAUAAUUUAAAAACACUACCUGUCAUCACUAUAUUAUGUAUUGGUCUGUGUCUAUGCAUCGUCGUCAGUAAGCGUAUAAACGACGGGCAAGUUAAAAUUUCAAACGUACGUUCGAUUAUACGAUUGUGACGACGAAUAAUAUUAUUGCUUCGUAUUAAAAUGUCCGUCACGUUUCCAAACCAAAAAUCUCGACGUCCCGAAUACUAAAUAUUAAUAGGUAAUAAUAAUAUGUCGUAUAGGUAGUAAUAAAAUAAUUACGAAAAAAAAUCUCAUUUACCACCUAUGUAUACGCAAUCCAUUUUGAAUAUACCUAUAUACACAUUGUAUUUAUAGUAUGGUCAGUUUUUCAUGGUCAAAAAAUAUGUAAAGACGUAAACGUAUAUUAGGUAAUGGUUUAUCGUAAUCGCGCAAAGGCUGCAUAUAAACGAGUAUAUUAUAAUUAUUAUUAUUAUUAUUAUUAUUUAUAUCAUUCGCAUAUUUUUUUUAUCCAGUAUGCGUACGUGAGCGUUAAAAUCGUCCGAUCGAGGUUAUAUUAGUAAAAAAUUCACUGAAAACUGUAUAUCUACUCAUCGCAUGGUCGAUGAUCGUUGUUUUUAUUGGUUCUACUAUGAAACAUGCAAGCCCGGAUUAAGAUGAUUUUGGGCCUGAGGCCAAACAAUUUUAGGGGUCCAUACACAUAUUCAAAAUAUUGGUGUUUAUAUAGUACUUUAUAUCAGCCAAGGCCAGAAGCCCACAAUAUUACGAUAUUCAAGGGCCUGAGGCCAUUACCCCCUCUCCCCCUUUAUCCGGGCCUGGAAACGUGUCCUUCAGUGCUAGGGUGCGAGGAUCCAGGAAGAGCACUGGGGACAUGUACUUCAUCCUGUUUGUCAAAAAAAAAAAAUUAUAAAACAAUUAUAUUUUUCAGAUUCAAAAUGUGACAAAGAAUAUAGUGGUUUUACAAAGAUGUUUUUUUUUUAUUACUGUGAUAAAAAUUUCUACCAGAAAUCUUGUUUCAAUAUGUAUGUGUGGCACCAUUUUUGAUAGAAAAUAUUGUCUGGAAUCUAGAUAGUACUUUAGGGAAGUAAUUUUGAUUUUCUAAGUAGUUUCCAUAAUAUCUGAGAAAACCCGGGAUAAAACGCAAGAAAAUUGGGAAAUUUAUGAAAAUAAUGUUUUUUAUUAUUUUUAAUUUUGUUAUUUGUUUCAAUUCAGGUAAAAAUAUUCGCAUGAACUUGAAAUUUGAACAGAAAACUUAUAAUUACCUUUUCUAGGAGCAAUAAAAUUUUAAAACAAUUUUGGCCAUUUUUGAGCUGUUUAUAGACAUUUUAAUUUUGCAAGUUUUUUACGUAAUUUUUAUUUUACUCUGUAGUAAAAUUGUUAGACUAAACAGAAAUUAUUUAACAGGAGGUUCAUUGAAGCCGUAAUUUGUAGUCAAAAAAAAAAAAAAAUAAUUAAGCUUAAUGUCAUUUUAAUGUAGUCAUUUUUUUUUUUUUUAUGAAUAAUAUUAAAUUUUGACAAAAAUUGUUAGAGUAAAAAUUAUGUGAAACAUUUCUAACUAUUCAUAUUUUUUUUGUUUCGUUACAAAGAAGUGAUUUUUUUUUAUCUGUGUAAAAUUUUUCUAUCAGCAAUUUUGCUCUAAUUUAAAAUGAUAGCAAUUAUUCUGAAAAUAAAUUUGACUGGGGAUGUAUUUUAAAGAGGAAAUUUUUCGAUUUCUCAACUAAUUUGAAAAACUAGGAAAAAAAACAUGGGAUAACUUGGAAUAACUUAAGAAAAAUGGGAAAAUCGGUACUUUAAACAAAUAUUAUUAAAGAAAAUAUAUAUAAUGUGUAUUUAAUUAUUUUACCAUAAUAUGAAAUAUAUAUUGUUGAUAAAGCAUCAAUAUCAACUAAACUCCGCUCAGAAUUAUAUUUUCGUUAGCAAUGGUUUAUUGUUGCUGACAGGUAUAAAUUAAAUUACUUACAAGAGUGGCUGCACCCGACCCCAUUCUUCUAAGACGUCUUUUUUAUUUUGAACUUACGUAUAUUGUCGAUUUAAGAACGAUAGUGAAGUCAAAAUUGAGUGGACUGACUUAUUUUUGAAAUUAUAGCUUUUUGAAGUUCAAAUAUUAUAUGGAUAUUAUGUGUGUUAUGUUAAAUAACUCAAUAUUGACUGUAUUAUUGUUUAUCUGUCGUAGUUUAGUGGUGGUACUGACAUGUUGUCAACCCAGAGAUCGCAAGUUCAAAUCCGAGUUCAGAAACAAAUGCAUUUUGGAUGCAUCUAGAGAUCCAAGUCGUCACUCACUCGGACUAUAUUAAUUGAAAAACACCCCUAGAUUUGCAGGGAAGUUUGCAACUUUUAUACCAGAAAUCUUGCUUCAAUAUAUCAAGUAUAGGGUGUAACAACUUUUCUAAAAGGAAAUUUCAUUAUAGUUUAGAGAGAUCAUUUUUUGAUUUUCCAUGUGGUUUUCAUAAUAAUUAGGAAAAAACCGAGAUAAAGUGUCGAAAAAACGGGAAAAUUUACGAAAAUAAUGUUUUUUUAUUAUUCAGUUGAACAUAUUCGUAGUGACUUGAAAUUUAGAUAGAAAACUUAUGUUUGCCUUUUCUAAACGUGGUAAAACUGAAAAAACAUUUGAGCCAUAUUUGAGCCAUUUAUAGACAUUUUAAUUUUGUGAAUAAUUUUUAUUUGGUAGGUCUCUGUUGAUAAAAUUUUCAGACUAAAGAAAAAUGCUUAAAAAUUUAACAGAAAAUUGAAGGAGGUUAAUUAUAAGCCAUAUUUUGUGGUCAAAACAAAAAAAAUUGAGUUUAAUGUAGUAUAUUUUUUUAUAAGAGUUUUGAAUAUAAAAUUUUAACGAAAAUAAUUUUAGUAAAAAAUUAUGUAAAAUAAAUUUAGUUACUGGUUUAUAGAAAUUAUUUCAAUAUAUAUUUAUUUUACUUUAAUAUGACAUCAAUAUUGUUGAAAAAUCAAUAUCAUACUAUUAAUUGAGCUCCUCUUAGAAUCGUUUUUCGUUAGUAAUGAUUAAUCUUUGCUUACAUUAAAUUUUCCUGUAUAUUCUAUGAACUUCAAAAAGCUAUAAUUUAGAAACUUAGUUAGUCCGCUCAAUUCUGACUUAACCAUUCUUUUUAAAUCAGCAAUACACAUAUGUUCGAAAAAAAUGAAAUUGAAUAAUUAGAUUUGUUCCAUAUAAUUUUUUAUUUAAUUUUCGUUAAAAUGUAGUAUCAAAAAUCCUUUAUAAAAUCAAAUACUACUAAUUCAACUCGAUUUUUUUUUUUUACUAUAAAUUACGACUUUCAAUGAAGCUCCUGUUAAAUAAUUUCUGUUUAGUCUAACAAUUUUACUACAGAGUUUGACCUACUGAAUAAAAACUACGUACAAAAUUAAAAUGUCUAUAAAUAGCUUAAAUUGGCUUAAAUUUUUUGAACAUUUUAUCAAUUCUAGAAAAAGUAAAUAUACAUUUUCUAUUUAAAUUUCAAGUCAAUAGACUCGAUAUGAAUAUUUAUAACUGAAUUUCCACAAAUAUAUUAAAAUUGUUUUAAAAAACUUAAAAAUUACUUAAAUGUUUUGAAAAUUUUACCACAACUAGAAAUGGCAAAUAUUAAGUUUUCUGUCCACAUUUCAAGUCUCUACGAAUAUGUUUAACUGAAUUACAAUAAAUAAAAAAUUUAAAAAUAAUAAAAGCAUUCAUUUUGUACAUUUUCCGUUUUUCUUAAAUUUUAUCCUGGUUUUUCUCAGAUAUUAAGAAAACCGCUUGGAAACUCAAAAAAUAGCCUCCUAAAAGUACCAUCUGGAUAACAUUCUCUUUCAGAAAUGUUGCCGUGCGUAUGUAUAUCUAAGCAAGUUUUAAGGUCGAAUUUUUGUACACUGGAUAGAAAAAAAAAAAAAUAAACAUCUUAGUAAAACAAAUACAAUCUUCGCUACACCGAGAAUCUAAAUUAGGUGCAAAAACGAUUUGAAAUAAUACAUUAAAAUUAACUCAGAUUUUAACAGAUAAUCGUAUGACAAAAAUCGUAAAUAUUGUGGCCUUUCAAAACAUGUAUAUAAUUGACCUUCGUGCCGAAUCCUUUGCUGUUUUUAAUUGUUUAUCAUUGUUUACAGAUAUAAAUUAAACAACUUUUUGUAUCCUACCUUCAUAACUUUCUACCUAACAACAGAGGCACACCCGUUCCUCUUUGUUAGCUGUUUUAGAUUCUGCGCAGAGCGAGGAAUGUAUUGGUUUUACAUUGAUGUUUAUUUUUUUUUCUUUGUACAACUUUUCUAUCAGAAAUUUUGCUCCAUCUUUUAAGGAUAGCAAUGUUUCUAAAAGGAAAUUUCAUUAGUGAUGUACCUUAAAUAAGUCAUUUUUCGAUUUUCCCCAGAAUUUUCUCAGCAAAUAUGAAAAACCGGAAUAAAAACAUGGGAAAACCUGGAAAAAAUGUAGGAAAACUGAGAAAAUCGGUAUAAUAUUAAACAAAUUUUAUUAAAAAAAAUUUACAAAGACUAUUUAAUUAUUAUUUUUUUUUACUAUACAAUUACAUUUAUAUUGUUAACAAAGCAUCACUAUCAACUGAAUUCCGUUCAGAAUCGUUUUUUCGUAAGCAAUGGUUUGUCGUUGCUUACAGGCAUGCAUUAAAUUAUCCAUAACAGUGGCUGCAACCCCUCCAAUCAUCCUAGAACGUCUUUUUAUAAAUACAUUUUUUAUUUAUGUAUUUAUUUACUAUAUGUAUGUACUUCAUUUUUUGACGAACCAUUUUAAUAAUUUUGUUUUUACUUUAUUAUUUUAUUAUUUAAAAAAUGUUUCCUAUUUAUACCGUUAGAAAUAUAUAUUUAUCCUUAUAUCAGGCUGUAUAUCAGUAUGGCAUUCUAGUUUGGGGAGAACUUACACAAAAAGUAAUUAAAACUCUACAAUUACAAGAAAAUAAAAAUCUCAGAAUACGUCUUAAUAAACUUAGUCUUGUAGGAUCUACGUUACAUAAUUAUAAUCAAUUUAAAGUUUUGCCUGUUACGUUACGUUACAGACAAUUUGAAAUUUUGUGGGUUAUAAAGAAUAUGGAAAAUUGGUAUAGCAUGGAUAGAAAUAACCAAAUUAAAAAAAAUAGUGCAUACUAUGUUAAAAUUAAAUUUAAGAAAACUUCUUUUAGACAAAGAUUUGUGGACUAUUUUUGUCCAAAAUUGUUUAAUGGGCUAAAUUAAGUCUCUAAAAAAAAAUUUAAUCAAAAAUUCUAAAUCCAAAAUGUGCGAAAUAUUUAAUAAAACAUUGGUUUUUUCUAUAGAAUAAGUUUUCUAUUUUCUAUUUUCUCUCUGUAUAUUUUGUCAUAUUUACUUUAAAUUCAGUGUCUCUAUGUGGUUAUUUUAAUAACUUAAGUCAAAAAUGUAUUAUUAUAUUAAUAUAUUUAUUUAAGUAAAUACAACUAAUUAAAUAAAUGUAUUUUAUUUUAAUUUUAGUUAGAUUAAGUUACUCUUAUCUAAUCUAAAUUUUAUCUUAAAUAAUUAUUUAUACAUUCUGCUAAGUAAUAUCUUGUUUUCAUGUAAGAGUAACAAAUUAUUUAUAAUAAUCUGUAAUCACAACUCCUUACCUUCACCACAAGCAUUGCUUAUAAAAGAUAGAUAUUUAAUCUAAGUGAGAACUGUAUACUUCGUGUUGAAUCUAUGUAUUUAUAAUAUUGCAUUGUAUCUACUUACUUGUGUACAUAUUUUUUCUUUGAUUUAAUUAUAAUAAUAAAAAAAUAAAUUGAUAUUUUCAGUGAAAAAUUAAUAAUCCUAUAACUGAAUGUAUGUUAACUUCUUUGUUAGAAAAAUAUACAAAUGUAAACCCUCUCUUCUGAAAUAUUUUUUUGUAAACGCACCUGCCGCCAGUGUUGGGCAUGAAAAUAAAUGUAUUAUUGUAUAAUUUACAAAUAAAAAUAUUUUUUAUCACUUUAAAAUGCAUUACCGACAAUACUAUAAUAUUAUGUAUAAAUGUAUAAUGUAUAUUUUACAUGAUGAAAAUAUUUUACUGUUAUAUAGGUAGCCCAGAAAACGAAGACGUGACAGUGAUAGACAUCGAAGAUGAUUCCGUGUUCGCCAACCGCAAUAAGAACGACGGCAAAAAGCACGUGCAUUUUUCGGAGGAGACCAUCACGGUGAUGAUACCCAAUCCACCCAAAGGGUUUUGUGAUUCGGUUAAAAAACUGUUGGAUUUCGUUUGCUGUUGUGGGUGUUGUUUUCCCAACUAUUUAUAAUAAUAAUAUUAUUUUAAAUUUGUAAUAAUAAGCUUUGUGAUAUAUAUUAAUAAUAACUAACGAUACUUAUAAUAUUUAUUUAUGUAUACCUAUAUAUAAAUGUAUAUUUGUUGAAUAUUAAUAAUUAAUAUACUGUAAUAAUCGUAUAUACUUAUAAUGGAUAAUAUACGUCAAUUGUUCGCCAAAAAGAGUUAGUGAGAUAAUUUUUUGCACAACAAUAGUUCAUGAGAAAUUAUUCAAAUACGAUCUAUACGUCAGUCUGUCAGUGACAACAUUAAAUUAAAAUCGUACUGCACAUUAACUGUAUGUUAUUGAACUUUAUAUAGAUUAUGCGAUAGACGAUAAUAUUAAUAGGUAAUUCUAAUACUCACAUCAUACAAAUUAUGCAACAUUCACGCAGUUAAUAUUUUGACCAGUAUUUUGUCCAUCUUAUUUUAUUUUAUAUUUUAAAUUAAAUUACUAUAGUUUUAAAAUAUAUCAAAUGUGACCGGGGUACCAUACAUUUUGAAAUUUAAACAAAAAGAUUUAUUUAAUUCAUACUUCAAAAAGAAGAAAACAUAAAUAAUUUGAAAAUUCAGCAGUAUGUUUUGGGCAAAAUUCAUAAUAAAACAAAUGUAUCAAAAUAAAAGUGAACAUUUAAAAAAAAUAUGUGCAGUAUAUAAUAACCGAACAACAAUUGAUUAUCUUCGUAGUGUUGCUUACAAUUUUCAAUUCCAAAUAUAAUAAUAGAAAUAAAAAUAUAAAAGGUAAUUAUUUACUAGCGAAUGCCAUCCGGGAUUGCCGGAAUGAUUUAAUUUUUAAUUUUUAUUAUGAAGUAUUUAUGCCAUGACAAUCUUUCAUUUGAAAUUGUGUUCUUUUUAUUUAUGUGUAUAUGCUUUUAUAUUAAUUCGUUAUUUUUAAUAGAUAAAUAAACAUUAACAUACAUAUUAAACAUAAAAACCCCUUUACUGGUUGAACGUUUUUAAAUAGAUAAUUGAUAAGUAUAAAAAAUGUCUACUAAAACUAUUAUAACUUUUUGACGAACAAUUUAUUGUACUCGAACGAUUGUCGCGCAAAUAAUCGUCGCGCGAACUAUUUUCGCCGAACAAUUGACGUGAUACCACAUAUAAUAUUGUGCAUAAUAUAUUGACGUGAUAUUAUAAUAUAUAAUUAUAUACUGUAAACUGUUAUAUCGCCGUUAUACGGCCACCGUGUAUUCUUUUAUUAUUUGUAAAUAUCAUAAUAAUAAUAUAAUAUUCGGAAACUGUUUUUGAAAUAAUAUUUUGUCAAAUUUUCCAAAUAAAAUACGUAGAAAUGCGA